Molecule: ribosomal RNA, 390 nt
Filed under: uncultured bacterium
Lineage: Bacteria
Description: bacterial SSU rRNA
Rfam family: Bacterial small subunit ribosomal RNA
Source: RNAcentral
AUUGAACGCUGGCGGCAUGCCUUACACAUGCAAGUCGAACGGCAGCACGGGAGCUUGCUCCUGGUGGCGAGUGGCGAACGGGUGAGUAAUGCAUCGGAACGUGCCCUGAAGUGGGGGAUAACGUAGCGAAAGUUACGCUAAUACCGCAUAUUCUGUGAGCAGGAAAGCAGGGGAUCUUCGGACCUUGCGCUUUUGGAGCGGCCGAUGUCGGAUUAGCUAGUUGGUGGGGUAAGGCCCACCAAGGCGACGAUCCGUAGCGGGUCUGAGAGGAUGAUCCGCCACACUGGAACUGAGACACGGUCCAGACUCCUACGGGAGGCAGCAGUGGGGGAAUUUUUGGACAAUGGGCGCAAGCCUGAUCCAGCCAUGCCGCGUGAGUGAAGAAGGCCU